GCGAUACCCGAAUGGGGAAACCCAGUGUGAUUCGUCACACUAUCAUUAACUGAAUCCAUAGGUUAAUGAGGCGAACCGGGGGAACUGAAACAUCUAAGUACCCCGAGGAAAAGAAAUCAACCGAGAUUCCCCCAGUAGCGGCGAGCGAACGGGGAGGAGCCCAGAGCCUGAAUCAGCAUGUGUGUUAGUGGAAGCGUCUGGAAAGGCGCGCGAUACAGGGUGACAGCCCCGUACACAAAAGCGCAUGUGCUGUGAGCUCGAUGAGUAGGGCGGGACACGUGGUAUCCUGUCUGAAUAUGGGGGGACCAUCCUCCAAGGCUAAAUACUCCUGACUGACCGAUAGUGAACCAGUACCGUGAGGGAAAGGCGAAAAGAACCCCGGCGAGGGGAGUGAAAAAGAACCUGAAACCGUGUACGUACAAGCAGUGGGAGCACCCUUUGGGUGUGACUGCGUACCUUUUGUAUAAUGGGUCAGCGACUUAUAUUCUGUAGCAAGGUUAACCGAAUAGGGGAGCCGGAGGGAAACCGAGUCUUAACCGGGCGUUAAGUUGCAGGGUAUAGACCCGAAACCCGGUGAUCUAGCCAUGGGCAGGUUGAAGGUUGGGUAACACUAACUGGAGGACCGAACCGACUAAUGUUGAAAAAUUAGCGGAUGACCUGUGGCUGGGGGUGAAAGGCCAAUCAAACCGGGAGAUAGCUGGUUCUCCCCGAAAGCUAUUUAGGUAGCGCCUCGUGAAUUCAUCUCCGGGGGUAGAGCACUGUUUCGGCUAGGGGGCCAUCCCGGCUUACCAACCCGAUGCAAACUGCGAAUACCGGAGAAUGUUAUCACGGGAGACACACGGCGGGUGCUAACGUCCGUCGUGAAGAGGGAAACAACCCAGACCGCCAGCUAAGGUCCCAAAGUCAUGGUUAAGUGGGAAACGAUGUGGGAAGGCCCAGACAGCCAGGAUGUUGGCUUAGAAGCAGCCAUCAUUUAAAGAAAGCGUAAUAGCUCACUGGUCGAGUCGGCCUGCGCGGAAGAUGUAACGGGGCUAAACCAUGCACCGAAGCUGCGGCAGCGACACUGUGUGUUGUUGGGUAGGGGAGCGUUCUGUAAGCCUGUGAAGGUGUGUCGUGAGGCAUGCUGGAGGUAUCAGAAGUGCGAAUGCUGACAUAAGUAACGAUAAAGCGGGUGAAAAGCCCGCUCGCCGGAAGACCAAGGGUUCCUGUCCAACGUUAAUCGGGGCAGGGUGAGUCGACCCCUAAGGCGAGGCCGAAAGGCGUAGUCGAUGGGAAACGGGUUAAUAUUCCCGUACUUGGUGUUACUGCGAAGGGGGGACGGAGAAGGCUAUGUUGGCCGGGCGACGGUUGUCCCGGUUUAAGCGUGUAGGUGUGUGUUCCAGGUAAAUCCGGUUCACUUUAACACUGAGGCGUGACGACGAGGCACUACGGUGCUGAAGCAACAAAUGCCCUGCUUCCAGGAAAAGCCUCUAAGCAUCAGGUAACAUCAAAUCGUACCCCAAACCGACACAGGUGGUCAGGUAGAGAAUACCAAGGCGCUUGAGAGAACUCGGGUGAAGGAACUAGGCAAAAUGGUGCCGUAACUUCGGGAGAAGGCACGCUGACACGUAGGUGAAGUGAUUUACUCAUGGAGCUGAAGUCAGUCGAAGAUACCAGCUGGCUGCAACUGUUUAUUAAAAACACAGCACUGUGCAAACACGAAAGUGGACGUAUACGGUGUGACGCCUGCCCGGUGCCGG
RNAcentral lists this ribosomal RNA (1739 nucleotides) under Salmonella enterica subsp. enterica serovar Enteritidis. RNAcentral describes it as "partial 23S ribosomal RNA". It matches the Rfam family "Bacterial large subunit ribosomal RNA", at positions 107 to 1872 of the family's 2925-position model. The record is from RNAcentral. Lineage: Bacteria; Pseudomonadati; Pseudomonadota; Gammaproteobacteria; Enterobacterales; Enterobacteriaceae.